UGGGGAGCUUCAUGAAAAUGAUGGGAAG
This 28-nucleotide non-coding RNA is filed under the name Mus musculus (house mouse). Lineage: Eukaryota; Metazoa; Chordata; Mammalia; Rodentia; Muridae. The record is from RNAcentral.